Molecule: non-coding RNA, 70 nt
Organism: Podarcis lilfordi (Lilford's wall lizard)
Lineage: Eukaryota; Metazoa; Chordata; Lepidosauria; Squamata; Lacertidae
Source: the annotation of a GenBank genome assembly
ACCCUAGCUCAGCUGGUAGAGCAUGAGACUCUUAGUCUCAGGUUUGUGGGUUCUAAUCCCACAUUGGGCA